AAUUAUUUUUAAAGGGAGGAUUUCUGCGAUCUGAUGCAGCGUUUUACCAUGCGGAUGUUGAUUGGUGUCUUGUCCCUACUGAUGUCUGGAUAUUUUGUCGAAAGCUGUAUCUGCCUCCGAACAUGUGACCUGGAAGACUGCAAAUCCAAUUGUCAAGCAAACAGUUAUUUGUCUGGCAUAUGUUUGUUGUCAGAUAUUUGUCCAGGAAGUAUGCGGUACUUCUGUAAGUGCAUGGUCAAAAGGACAAUAAGUAAUCGCUGAUACGAUGCGAUAAAGAAGAUUGAAAUACACACAUGUAUUACUUUCAAAAUAAAUGACAGUAAAAUACAGUGAAAUGACUCAAUAAA
This is a long non-coding RNA of Saccostrea cuccullata (small rock oyster), 347 nucleotides long. RefSeq lists it as uncharacterized. NCBI's taxonomy places the organism in Eukaryota, Metazoa, Mollusca, Bivalvia, Ostreida, Ostreidae. The transcript is spliced from 2 exons. The record is from RefSeq and is a predicted model, not a curated record.